AUUGAAUGCUGGCGGCAGGCUUAACACAUGCAAGUCGAGCGGGGUGAUGGUGCUUGCACUAUCACUUAGCGGCGGACGGGUGAGUAAUGCUUAGGAAUCUGCCUAUUAGUGGGGGACAACAUCUCGAAAGGGAUGCUAAUACCGCAUACGUCCUGCGGGAGAAAGCAGGGGAUCACUUGUGACCUUGCGCUAAUAGAUGAGCCUAAGUCGGAUUAGCUAGUUGGUGGGGUAAAGGCCUACCAAGGCGACGAUCUGCAGCGGGUCUGAGAGGAUGAUCCGCCACACUGGGACUGAGACACGGCUCAGACUCCUACGGGAGGCAGCAGUGGGGAAUAUUGGACAAUGGGGGGAACCCUGAUCCAGCCAUGCCGCGUGUGUGAAGAAGGCCUUAUGGUUGUAAAGCACUUUAAGCGAGGAGGAGGCUCUUUUGGUUAAUACCCAAGAUGAGUGGACGUUACUCGCAGAAUAAGCACCGGCUAACUCUGUGCCAGCCGCCGCCGUAA
This 503-nucleotide ribosomal RNA is filed under the name uncultured bacterium. Its description in RNAcentral is "partial 16S ribosomal RNA". It matches the Rfam family "Bacterial small subunit ribosomal RNA", at positions 30 to 523 of the family's 1533-position model. The record is from RNAcentral.